Molecule: ribosomal RNA, 467 nt
Filed under: uncultured bacterium
Lineage: Bacteria
Description: partial 16S ribosomal RNA
Rfam family: Bacterial small subunit ribosomal RNA
Source: RNAcentral
GACGAACGCUGGCGGCGUGCUUAACACAUGCAAGUCGAACGGAAAGGCCCUGCUUUUGUGGGGUGCUCGAGUGGCGAACGGGUGAGUAACACGUGAGUAACCUGCCCUUGACUUUGGGAUAACUUCAGGAAACUGGGGCUAAUACCGGAUAGGAGCUCCUGCUGCAUGGUGGGGGUUGGAAAGUUUCGGCGGUUGGGGAUGGACUCGCGGCUUAUCAGCUUGUUGGUGGGGUAGUGGCUUACCAAGGCUUUGACGGGUAGCCGGCCUGAGAGGGUGACCGGCCACAUGGGGACAGGGGAGGGGCCAGGGCCCCAUGGGGGGGGAGGGGGGGGAAAUGUUGCCAAAGGGGGGGAGGCGUGGAGGAGCAACGCCGGGUGGGGAAGGACGGCCUUCGGGUUGGAACCCCUUUUCGCCUGGACAGAGGGGGGGGGAAGGUAAAUGGGGAAAAAGCCCCGGCUAAAUCAGGG